This 1609-nucleotide long non-coding RNA is filed under the name Panax ginseng (ginseng). RNAcentral describes it as "long non-coding RNA (PGIN_LNC000844)". The record is from RNAcentral. Lineage: Eukaryota; Viridiplantae; Streptophyta; Magnoliopsida; Apiales; Araliaceae.
AAAAAGAACUGGAGACUAUAAAAGGGUAUGCAUGGAAGUCUAGAGAUCACAGAAAACACACACUUCAUUUCUUAAGAAAAAAGUUGUUGAAGUUUGAAGAGAUCAUGAGGGCAAUAUAUAUUAUCAGCAUCAUUAUAGUGAGCUUGAGCAUUUUCUCUUGUGGUGGGAAUGCUCGACUUCUUCCUGCUAAUAGAGAUUAUCCAUGGGCAAUGUUUGCCCUAAGGCUUCAAUGGCCAGCUGGAUUUUACGAGGUCAACAAUGACUGUGAUACAAAGUCUCUCCUCAACACAUUUACCAUUCACGGCCUUUAUCCCUAUAACGCGAAGGGGAUCCCAGUGUUAUAUUGUGACGGAACUGCCUUUGAUGUUAACUCUGUGAGUUCUCUCAGUCUGCAUUUAAUUUACUUCUUAAAAUCCUUGCUCUAUUGUCUAUUAAAUAUGUUUUUUUGUGGUAACAUUUAUAUAUAUCUUGAAGAGUUGGAUAUGUUUGUUUGAUAAAAAAAAUGAAAUUGUACAUGCAAUAUAUAUCCAUACAUACUCACAUAUGUUAAACUAAUUUCUCUCCUCCUUUAUUUUGAAAAUUAACAGGUAUCGGACUUUCAAGCAGAAAUGCAUCUUGCAUGGCCGAGUCAUGAAACUAAUACUGAGGACAAACAAUUCUGGGAACACGAGUGGAAUAAACAUGGAAGGUGCUCAGAAGCUUUGUUGAAGCAGACUGAUUAUUUUAGAACGGCGCUUGCUUUUAGAAAAGCAUUUGAUAUAAUUGGGCUACUAAACCAGGAAGGUAAACAUACCCAUUGAUAUAUAAUUAAAUAGUCUUUAAUUUGGUUCAUUAAUUGCUUCCUAAGGGAACUACGUACUUAAUUUAGAUUUUGUGGAUGAUUAAUUGAUAAUGUGAGUUUGAUGAGAUUACUAUUCAAAAAUGUGUAGGGAUUUACCCGAAUAACGACCUUUAUCGUCCUAAAAUGAUAAAAGAAGCAAUCAAAAAGCACUUGAAUGCUGUGCCAGAAAUCGAUUUCACCAAAAACGAAAACUCAGAAUAUGUGCUUACGGAUAUUAAUCUAUGUGUGAACCAACAAGCAACAAGGUUCGUAGAUUGCCCUACCGAUGACGCUACUGAUGACUACCGCCUCAAAUUCGUAAGACUACCUUCUAAAAUGAAAAUUGCGGAUCCGAGGACCAAUUCUAUAAUAUAGCACAAAUGGUACGGCUACAAAAUGGACUACUAUCUUGUUUAAUUAAUGCUUUUGGGAGUAUAUAUUAUCUAUGUAAAAUAGUUAUGAGUGCUAGGGUUGGCUAAUUAGUACUAUGAGGCCAACCUUUAGUAUCUCUUGAAUAAUGUCCAUGUAGCAAAAGUUUAUAGCACUCUGGCCUUGGUGUGUAUGGAUAAUUAUAAUAAAUGACUACUUUUAUCUGCAAAAAAAAAUAAAAUCCAAGUAUUUUCUUUUGUUUUUAUUUUUGAUAAGAAUUUAAUUUUAUGUAGUUUGAUGGCAUAGUUUAUCUAGGAAGCUGAUAUUUUCACAUGUUAAAAUGAUAUUUUCAAACGAGUCUCUCACAAUAUGGAUGUGGGACUUGCUCACUAUUCAUGUGAGAGGGAUUAUGUGAAAAUA